GAAAUGCGAUACGUAGUGCGAAUUGCAAUACCUCGUGAAUCAUCAAUAUUUUGAACGCACAUUGCGCUGUCUGGGUAUCCCUGGCAGCAUGUUUGUCUGAGUGUCAGUGGGACCCAUCUUGUCUGGACGUGUUCCAGGACAGUUGUUGUGGUUGUAGCAUGGUUUGCUGCUUUCAUGAAAUUGUUGUUGUAGAAGUGCUACUGUUGCUUUGCACGAGUAAGGCUCUCCGUGGGAAGCGGUGGCAUUUUUCUGUGGAGUACAACCUGAUCUCAGCUCAAGCAGGAAGACCCGCUGAAUUUAA
This 301-nucleotide unclassified non-coding RNA is filed under the name uncultured fungus. Its description in RNAcentral is "sequence contains ITS1". The stretch from base 1 to 106 matches the Rfam family "5.8S ribosomal RNA", at positions 50 to 154 of the family's 154-position model. Lineage: Eukaryota; Fungi. The record is from RNAcentral.